This 361-nucleotide long non-coding RNA is filed under the name Elaeis guineensis (African oil palm). RNAcentral describes it as "long non-coding RNA (EGUI_LNC046743)". Lineage: Eukaryota; Viridiplantae; Streptophyta; Magnoliopsida; Arecales; Arecaceae. The record is from RNAcentral.
UUGAUCGAAAGUAAUCACAAAAGAAUUGACAUAAAAUUUUAUUGUGCAUUAUGGUUAUUAAUUUGAUCAUUGGUUAUUCAAGUGAAUCGUAAGUUCAAAUUCGAUGUGAGAAUAAUACUAUGAUAUUACUUUUAGUUGAGAAGUUGACUAUUAUUGGUAAGAUAAAGAUUUGAUGAUAAAAUAUUAUUCCAGGAUGGACUAAGAAAAAUCUUUUAUGAUGCUUGAUUGGAAUAUUUAUCGAAAUUAAACUUGGUAUAUGGAUCAUAUAUAAAGUGACAUAUUAGGAUGAAUGCAUAUUUGAGGAUAUUACAAAGAAACCUAUUUCUUAUUGAUGAAAUUGAUUAUGAGGUUGUAGAAUAUU